UGGGGAAUAUUGCACAAUGGGCGCAAGCCUGAUGCAGCCAUGCCGCGUGUAUGAAGAAGGCCUUCGGGUUGUAAAGUACUUUCAGCGGGGAGGAAGGGAGUAAAGUUAAUACCUUUGCUCAUUGACGUUACCCGCAGAAGAAGCACCGGCUAACUCCGUGCCAGCAGCCGCGGUAAUACGGAGGGUGCAAGCGUUAAUCGGAAUUACUGGGCGUAAAGCGCACGCAGGCGGUUUGUUAAGUCAGAUGUGAAAUCCCCGGGCUCAACCUGGGAACUGCAUCUGAUACUGGCAAGCUUGAGUCUCGUAGAGGGGGAUAGAAUUCCAGGUGUAGCGGUGAAAUGCGUAGAGAUCUGGAGGAAUACCGGUGGCGAAGGCGGCCCCCUGGACGAAGACUGACGCUCAGGUGCGAAAGCGUGGGGAGCAAACAGG
This 429-nucleotide ribosomal RNA is filed under the name Chloroflexota bacterium. RNAcentral's name for it is "Chloroflexi bacterium partial 16S ribosomal RNA". It matches the Rfam family "Bacterial small subunit ribosomal RNA", at positions 355 to 776 of the family's 1533-position model. Lineage: Bacteria; Bacillati; Chloroflexota. The record is from RNAcentral. RNAcentral also lists the same sequence under 1 other name.